AUGCAGUCGACGGUAACGAUGGUAGCUUGCUACCAGGCGACGAGUGGCGGACGGGUGAGUAAUACAUAGGAAUCUGCCUUAUAGUGGGGGACAACCUGGGGAAACCCAGGCUAAUACCGCAUACGCCCUUCGGGGGAAAGGCUUCGGCCGCUAUUAGAUGAGCCUAUGUCUGAUUAGCUUGUUGGUGGGGUAAUGGCCCACCAAGGCGACGAUCAGUAGCUGGUCUGAGAGGACGAUCAGCCACACUGGGACUGAGACACGGCCCAGACUCCUACGGGAGGCAGCAGUGGGGAAUAUUGGACAAUGGGCGAAAGCCUGAU
This 320-nucleotide ribosomal RNA is filed under the name uncultured bacterium. RNAcentral describes it as "bacterial SSU rRNA". It matches the Rfam family "Bacterial small subunit ribosomal RNA", at positions 55 to 387 of the family's 1533-position model. The record is from RNAcentral.